GUCGUACUGGAGGAUGAAAAUAAGUAAUGGUCCAUUGGCUAAGUGUUUUAUCACAAUGCUGAAACUCAAAUUGCUGACAGAAAAAA
Small nucleolar RNA from Phyllostomus hastatus (greater spear-nosed bat), 86 nucleotides. RefSeq annotates it as small nucleolar RNA SNORD71. NCBI's taxonomy places the organism in Eukaryota, Metazoa, Chordata, Mammalia, Chiroptera, Phyllostomidae. The record is from RefSeq and is a predicted model, not a curated record. The transcript has a single exon.